CGCGGCGCUCCCGUAACGCAGAGGAGCGGCUGAGCGGUGCGGCGUGCGGUUAAGGCGAGAGCGGAGUUGGCCGCGCAGCGCCCAACACGAGUAGAAAACCGAGGCCGUCGGGCUCAUGCGGAUCCAUGAGGGAGGACUUCUGUUUCACAAGGUUUCACCGCCUCUCGCAUUUUUGUGCUCAGCCAGGGCUGCAUCCAAGCAAGGGCUGCCCGGAUUUUAAACACGGGAGGCUGCAGCGUGGAUCUGGAUGUGCGGACCUCCUCACAGUGAGCGUUCCCGUUGGCGUGUGGGUGCACAAGAAAGGGGAAACCCUGCUCCUCACAGCUGGGGAGAGCACACAGCCAGCAGUGAGCGGUGCCAGCUCCUCCGCCCACCAGGGCUCCUAUGCUCUGCCAGGAGCAAGAGGUGUGUCAGCAAGAAGGCCUGCCAGCAGCCUGCCUGCUCCUCACUCCUAGCUGCGGGACCGCAGGGCACCGAGCUCAACCAGAGCAUUAUUUCCACUCGUGUGCCUGGUGCUGCACAGCUGAGCCACGCGCAGCACGGCACUGAAUGUUUUCAAGUAUUGCAGCUUGUGAUGUGCACUGCUUCACAAUGAUUCCAGUUCAAGGGCAAAUUCAGAUUGCGUCACUCACGUGCUAUAAAUGGAGAGUGCGAACAGCACAGCGUGAGCCCCUAGGAACGUGCUGUCCUAACUCGCUUUGUUCUGCAUUUAAGAUCCUUCACCGAGAGCACAAAAAGCACAGCAAAAAUCUGUUUCCAAAUAAACCUCUUGAAUAAAGCAUUUCAAAAGCCAUUUAAAGUUUCAGGAUGAGCAAAAGAUGGGGCCCUGGGCAGCCUGACCUGGCAGGGGCAAGCAGCCCACAUCGGGGCUUGGGGCUGGCUGGCUUUAAGGGCCCUUCCGCCCUUUGAUUCUAUGAUUCUAUGAAUAAAUACUAACUGAAAGAUUA
Molecule: long non-coding RNA, 947 nt
Filed under: Gallus gallus (chicken)
Lineage: Eukaryota; Metazoa; Chordata; Aves; Galliformes; Phasianidae
Description: lncRNA (ENSGALG00010004665.1)
Source: RNAcentral